Molecule: ribosomal RNA, 253 nt
Filed under: uncultured bacterium
Lineage: Bacteria
Description: partial 16S ribosomal RNA
Rfam family: Bacterial small subunit ribosomal RNA
Source: RNAcentral
UACGGAGGGUGCAAGCGUUAUCCGGAUUCACUGGGUUUAAAGGGUGCGUAGGCGGGUUAUUAAGUCAGUGGUGAAAGCCUACAGCUUAACUGUAGAAUUGCCAUUGAUACUGAUGAUCUUGAGUAUGAUUGAGGUGGGCGGAAUGUGUCAUGUAGCGGUGAAAUGCUUAGAUAUGACACAGAACACCGAUUGCGAAGGCAGCUCACUAAGUCAUAACUGACGCUGAUGCACGAAAGCGUGGGGAGCAAACAGG